AUUGAACGCUGGCGGCAGGCCUAACACAUGCAAGUCGAGCGGAGCGGCGGACGGGGGAGGAAUGCCUAGGAAUCUGCCUGUUCGUGGGGGACAACGUCAGGGACCGGACGCUAAUGCCACAUAAUAUCAAAUGAGCAUAGGGCGGAUUAGCUAGUUGGUGGGGUAAGGGCCUACCAAGGCGACGAUCCGUAACUGGUCUGAGAGGAGGAUCAGUCACACGGGAACUGAGACACGGUCCAGACUCCUACGGGAGGGAGCAGUGGGGAAGAUUGGACAAUGGGCGAAAGCCGGAUCCAGCCAUGCCGCGUGUGUGAAGAAGGUUUUCGGAUUGUAAGGCACUUUAAGUUGGGAGGCGUUACCUACAGAAGAAGCACCGGCUAACUUCGUGCCAGCAGCCGCGGUAAUAC
RNAcentral lists this ribosomal RNA (407 nucleotides) under uncultured bacterium. Its description in RNAcentral is "partial 16S ribosomal RNA". It matches the Rfam family "Bacterial small subunit ribosomal RNA", at positions 29 to 526 of the family's 1533-position model. The record is from RNAcentral.